RNAcentral lists this ribosomal RNA (403 nucleotides) under uncultured bacterium. Its description in RNAcentral is "bacterial SSU rRNA". It matches the Rfam family "Bacterial small subunit ribosomal RNA", at positions 357 to 776 of the family's 1533-position model. The record is from RNAcentral.
GGGAAUAUUGCACAAUGGGGGAAACCCUGAUGCAGCAACGCCGCGUGAAGGAAGACGGUUUUCGGAUUGUAAACUUCUGUUCUUCGUGAAGAAAAAUGACGGUACCUGAAUAAGAAGCCCCGGCUAACUACGUGCCAGCAGCCGCGGUAAUACGUAGGGGGCAAGCGUUAUCCGGAUUUACUGGGUGUAAAGGGAGCGUAGACGGUUAUGCAAGUCUGGAGUGAAAGCCCGGGGCUCAACCCCGGGACUGCUUUGGAAACUGUAAAACGGGAGUGCAGGAGAGGCAGGCGGAAUUCCUAGUGUAGCGGUGAAAUGCGUAGAUAUUAGGAGGAACACCAGUGGCGAAGGCGGCCUGCUGGACUGUAACUGACGUUGAGGCUCGAAGGCGUGGGGAGCAAACAGG